CUGAUGCCCUAUUUCGAAGGAGCUCACGAGGGAUCCCGUUAUUGUCGCCACCGGUCAGAGGUACACUGAAGCACCUAGGACGAAGCACCACGAACAAAGUUCCAAGGACAAAGCAGACGCCACCACUGAAGCCACUCCUUUUCUCCCCGACUCCGAUCUCUCGCUCUUUCAUAAGG
This is a long non-coding RNA of Rhododendron vialii, 176 nucleotides long. RefSeq lists it as uncharacterized. The transcript has 2 exons. The record is from RefSeq and is a predicted model, not a curated record. NCBI's taxonomy places the organism in Eukaryota, Viridiplantae, Streptophyta, Magnoliopsida, Ericales, Ericaceae.